RNAcentral lists this ribosomal RNA (490 nucleotides) under uncultured Lactococcus sp. RNAcentral describes it as "bacterial SSU rRNA". It matches the Rfam family "Bacterial small subunit ribosomal RNA", at positions 431 to 916 of the family's 1533-position model. Lineage: Bacteria; Bacillati; Bacillota; Bacilli; Lactobacillales; Streptococcaceae. The record is from RNAcentral.
CGGCCGCGUCGACGAAGAAUGGUCGGCAGAGUAACUGUUGUCGGCGUGACGGUAUCCAACCAGAAAGCCACGGCUAACUACGUGCCAGCAGCCGCGGUAAUACGUAGGUGGCAAGCGUUAUCCGGAUUUAUUGGGCGUAAAGCGAGCGCAGGCGGUUUUUCAAGUCUGAUGUGAAAGCCCUCGGCUUAACCGAGGAAGUGCAUCGGAAACUGGGAAACUUGAGUGCAGAAGAGGACAGUGGAACUCCAUGUGUAGCGGUGGAAUGCGUAGAUAUCACGAAGAACUCCGAUUGCGAAGGCAGUCUGCUGGGUUACAACUGACGCUGAGGCUCGAAAGUGCGGGUAUCAAACAGGAUUAGAUACCCUGGUAGUCCGCACAGUAAACGAUGAAUGCUCGUCCUUGGCGAUAUACGGUCAGGGACCAAGCGAAAGCAUUAAGCAUUCCACCUGGGGAGUACGCCGGCAACGGUGAAACUCAAAGGAAUUGACGG